This is a long non-coding RNA of Sceloporus undulatus (fence lizard), 400 nucleotides long. RefSeq lists it as uncharacterized. The record is from RefSeq and is a predicted model, not a curated record. The transcript is spliced from 2 exons. Lineage: Eukaryota; Metazoa; Chordata; Lepidosauria; Squamata; Phrynosomatidae.
UCUACAGAGUGAACUCGAUAUCUUGGAUAUAUGGGCAGCUUACACGGACAAUUUCUUGGAAUUCAAUGGAGCAGCAUCUCCAGUCUUAACGUCUGUGGCGGGACUUGGCAAUAGAAAGAUAAAUAGUCUUGGCGUUAUUGGAUUACACAUGAAUCCAGGAACACUCUUCUAGUUUUUCCAAGGAGGAAAAAGAAACAGCUGUGGUUGUUCAUGCAAGGAAGUAGCGCUGGAAGGAAAGGGCUGCUUCUGGAUGAGAUUUUCAUUUUGCAAUUGCUCUGCCUCCUUCGCUGAAUUUUAUUGACUGGGUACAGCCUGCUCAUGUUUAUCUACUGUAUCAUGCAUCUUUUUCUUUAAUAGUUUAUUCUUAGUAAGGAGGAAUAAACCAAAUAGUUGCACAAUG